GUCCUACGGGACGCAGCAGUGGGGAAUAUUGGACAAUGGGGGGAACCCUGAUCCAGCGACGCCGCGUGAGGGAUGAAGGUUUUCGGAUUGUAAACUCCUUUUGUUAGAGAAGAUAAUGACGGUAUCUAACGAAUAAGCACCGGCUAACUCCGUGCCAGCAGCCGCGGUAAUACGGAGGGUGCAAGCGUUACUCGGAAUCACUGGGCGUAAAGAGCGCGUAGGCGGGAUAGCAAGUCAGAUGUGAAAUCCUAUGGCUUAACCAUAGAACUGCAUUUGAAACUGUUAUUCUAGAGUAUGGGAGAGGU
Molecule: ribosomal RNA, 305 nt
Filed under: uncultured bacterium
Lineage: Bacteria
Description: bacterial SSU rRNA
Rfam family: Bacterial small subunit ribosomal RNA
Source: RNAcentral